Molecule: non-coding RNA, 98 nt
Filed under: Heyndrickxia coagulans
Lineage: Bacteria; Bacillati; Bacillota; Bacilli; Caryophanales; Bacillaceae
Description: SAM riboswitch (S box leader)
Rfam family: SAM riboswitch aptamer (S box leader)
About the family: The SAM riboswitch is found upstream of a number of genes which code for proteins involved in methionine or cysteine biosynthesis in Gram-positive bacteria. The SAM riboswitch acts at the level of transcription termination control. The predicted structure consists of a complex stem-loop region followed by a single stem loop terminator region.
Source: RNAcentral
CUUAUCAAGAGAGGCGGAGGGACUUGGCCCGAUGAAACCUCAGCAACCAGCCAUACGGCCCGGUGCUAAAUCCAACAGGUAUACCUGAAAAGAUAAGG